CCGUGAAAUUGGGGUCAAAAAGUUUAAUUUGGCUUUAAAAUUAGAAAGAUCAUAUCAUAAGGAACAUGUGUACUAAGUUUCAAGUUGAUUGGACUUCAACUUCAUCAAAAACUACCUUGACCAAAAACUUUAACCUGAAAAACUUUAACCUGAAACAUGCACUAUCAUUUUCUAUGUUCAGUGGACCGUGAAAUUGGGGUCAAAAGUUUAAUUUGGCUUUAAAAUUAGAAAGAUCAUAUCAUAAGGAACAUGUGUACUAAGUUUCAAGUUGAUUGGACUUCAACUUCAUCAAAAACUACCUUGACCAAAAACUUUAACCUGAAGCGGGACAGACGGACGAACGGACGAACGAACAGACGGACGAACGGACGCACAGACCAGAAAACAUAAUGCCCCUACUACUAUCGUAGACGGGGCAUAAAAAAAC
Molecule: long non-coding RNA, 427 nt
Filed under: Mytilus galloprovincialis (Mediterranean mussel)
Lineage: Eukaryota; Metazoa; Mollusca; Bivalvia; Mytilida; Mytilidae
Source: RNAcentral